GUAAUUUACAGCUCUCAAAAUUCUAUUUUCACCUUUUUUACAGUUAACUUUUACCAUAGAACGAACUAAUAAUGAUAACAGGCCAUGAAAAAUAACACAUAAUGACUUCCAUCAAAUGUUUAGGUAAAGCAGCACUUUUAUGUUCUUCAGGUGAACAAUAAUAGUUAAUGACAACAACCUGCAGUCCAGCUACUGAAUUUCAAACAUUCUUAGACUGGAUGGCCAAAGGUAAUAAGAUUACCCUGUCAUAGAAAGCUCUAGUAGCAGCGGCUAAGACAAAGGGCAAAAAAUUCUGGGUUAGUAGGCUUCAGUGGGUAUAUGUUUUUGCAUUGAAGAAAAAAUGACUUAACACCCAUAUCGUUUUUCAAGUUGUGUGGAAAGAAAGUUAAAAAAGAGGGCUUUUAAGGUGGGAAGUUGUUUCUCAAUACUUAAAAAAGCUGGGAGGGGAAUUGUUUUAACCAGCAACCAAUUGAAAUAUAUAAAUAAUUACAAGAACAGACAGAAAUCCAGGAAGUGAUUAAAAAUCCAAGCACCCAACAAAAAUUUGAUAAUUAUUGCAUACCUACAGCAACCUCUGCCCUAACA
Molecule: unclassified non-coding RNA, 585 nt
Filed under: Hevea brasiliensis (rubber tree)
Lineage: Eukaryota; Viridiplantae; Streptophyta; Magnoliopsida; Malpighiales; Euphorbiaceae
Source: RNAcentral